Molecule: ribosomal RNA, 465 nt
Filed under: uncultured bacterium
Lineage: Bacteria
Description: partial 16S ribosomal RNA
Rfam family: Bacterial small subunit ribosomal RNA
Source: RNAcentral
CCUACGGGAGACAGCAGUAGGGAAUCUUCCACAAUGGGCGAAAGCCUGAUGGAGCGACGCCGCGUGGGUGAAGAAGGUCUUCGGAUCGUAAAACCCUGUUGUUAGAGAAGAAAGUGCGUGAGAGUAACUGUUCACGUGUCGACGGUAUCUAACCAGAAAGCCACGGCUAACUACGUGCCAGCAGCCGCGGUAAUACGUAGGUGGCAAGCGUUAUCCGGAUUUAUUGGGCGUAAAGGGAACGCAGGCGGUCUUUUAAGUCUGAUGUGAAAGCCUUCGGCUUAACCGGAGUAGUGCAUUGGAAACUGGGAGACUUGAGUGCAGCAGAGGCGAGUGGAACUCCAUGUGUAGCGGUGAAAUGCGUAGAUAUAUGGAAGAACACCAGUGGCGAACGCGGCUCUCUGGUCUGUAACUGACGCUGAGGUUCGAAAGCGUGGGUAGCAAACAGGAUUAGAUACCCCUGUAGUC